AAUCAACGCUGGCGGCGUGCCUCAGACAUGCAAGUCGAACGAUUAAAGCUCUCUUCGGAGAGUGUAUAGAGUGGCGCACGGGUGAGUAACACGUAAGUAAUCUACCUUUGAGUGGGGAAUAACGUCCGGAAACGGACGCUAAUACCGCAUAAUGCAGCGGCAUCGCAAGAUGACAGUUGUUAAAGAUUUAUCGCUUGAAGAGGAGCUUGCGGCAGAUUAGCUAGUUGGUAAGGUAAUGGCUUACCAAGGCUACGAUCUGUAACCGGUCUAAGAGGACGGUCGGUCACACUGACACUGAAUAACGGGUCAGACUCCUACGGGAGGCAGCAGUCGGGAAUUUUGGGCAAUGGGCGAAAGCCUGACCCAGCAACGCCGCGUGAAGGAUGAAGUAUUUCGGUAUGUAAACUUCGAAAGAAUGGGAAGAAUCAAUGACGGUACCAUUUAUAAGGUCCGGCUAACUACGUGCCAGCAGCCGCU
RNAcentral lists this ribosomal RNA (477 nucleotides) under uncultured bacterium. RNAcentral describes it as "bacterial SSU rRNA". It matches the Rfam family "Bacterial small subunit ribosomal RNA", at positions 32 to 519 of the family's 1533-position model. The record is from RNAcentral.